UGGAGUGCCUGGAUUUUUGCCUACAAUUGCUCCUGCUGCGUUCGCUGAAUCAACAGCCAUCGUCUCGGGGACUCUGAUGAUAGCGAAGAAGACCCGGGAAAUGGUGACCUCGCAUCUCUGGGGUUGGCAAGCCAAUUGCAUUGGCAGACUCCACCGUCUCGCCGAGUGCCAGCAAGAGUCAACUCAACUCCUCAACUGGAAUUUUACAGACUGAUCUCCGAAAUAUCUCAGCAUCCAGUAACCAUGGUAAACAGAUCCUAAUACCAAUUUAUCUCCCUUAGCACCUCACCAUGGGGAAGGACGUAUUCAUAUGCCUUCACCAGCACCUGCAUUAAACAUGCAGAGAGUUACACAAGUCCUCCCUCGACUCCCUCAACAUGUGGCAGACAGAUGAGCCUGGAUCCCGCCUGGCUUACAGGCCAACAUGGCGAGGAGGAAAAAUGGCCGACAACAUUUCCUGCUCUGAUUUCUUCUUUGGCCACCAUUGGAGGCCAGGAUGUGAAACGGGUGACCGGGAACAUUCUGGGCAGGAUCUUCACAGAUGAGGUUUCACAUCAAAUUAAUUGGAAGGGUGUCAACAACAAAAAGGCCUUUAGCAGGAUGGCAACAAAGACCUUGCUUUUCAGUGCUGUAAGAAAAAAUCUGUCGACAAAGUCAGCCACAGACGCUGAGGUCACCAAACACGCAAUCAGUUAAUUCAACCUGGCGGCGGAUCGGGCAGCGAGGAGACGAGUCCCGCCUCCACCUCC
This is a long non-coding RNA of Nerophis ophidion (straightnose pipefish), 749 nucleotides long. RefSeq lists it as uncharacterized. The transcript has 6 exons. The record is from RefSeq and is a predicted model, not a curated record. Lineage: Eukaryota; Metazoa; Chordata; Actinopteri; Syngnathiformes; Syngnathidae.